This is a non-coding RNA of Acidihalobacter prosperus, 184 nucleotides long. It matches the Rfam family "6S / SsrS RNA". Rfam says of the family: E. coli 6S RNA was the first non coding RNA to be sequenced, but its function was unknown until recently. It consists of 184 nucleotides that fold into an extended hairpin structure with a large single-stranded internal bulge. Lineage: Bacteria; Pseudomonadati; Pseudomonadota; Gammaproteobacteria; Chromatiales; Ectothiorhodospiraceae. The record is from Rfam.
ACACCUCUGUGGUGUUCGUGAGUGACCGGGUAGUACCCUUGAGCCUAGUUUUUUACCCGGGGAGCCGGUUUGCGGAGAACAUGCGCAUGUCCGCGCUUUGCGGAAAGCCUACGUUCGCUGCCGACGCUCCCACUUGAACCCCUGGUUCAAGGUCGAAGGUCACCACGGCACCUACGGAGCGUGU